GAAUAUUGGACAAUGGGCGAAAGCCUGAUCCAGCCAUGCCGCGUGGGUGAAGAAGGCCUUCGGGUUGUAAACCCAUCUUGUUGGGGAAGAAAUCCUGCUGGCUAAUCCCCGGCGGGGAUGACGGUACCCAAAGAACAAGCACCUGCCAACCUCGUGCCGGCACCCGCGGUAAUACGAAGGGUGUAAGCGUUACCAGGAAUUACUGGGCGUAAAGCGUGCGUAGGUGGUGGCUUAAGUCCGUUGUGAAAGCCCUGGGCGCAACCUGGGAAUUGCAGUGGAUACUGGGUCACUAGAGUGUGGUAGAGGGUGGCGGAAUUCCCGGUGUAGCAGUGAAAUGCGUAGAGAUCGGGAGGAACACCCGUGGCGAAGGCGGCCACCUGGGCCAACACUGACACUGAGGCACGAAAGCGUGGGGAGCAAACAG
This 424-nucleotide ribosomal RNA is filed under the name uncultured bacterium. RNAcentral's name for it is "partial 16S ribosomal RNA". It matches the Rfam family "Bacterial small subunit ribosomal RNA", at positions 359 to 775 of the family's 1533-position model. The record is from RNAcentral.